RNAcentral lists this ribosomal RNA (92 nucleotides) under uncultured bacterium. Its description in RNAcentral is "partial 16S ribosomal RNA". The record is from RNAcentral.
UCGUAAAGCACUUUCGACCGGGAAGAAACGCUGUUGGCUAACAUCCAGCAGUCUGACGGUACCGGGAGAAGAAGCACCGGCUAACUCUGUGC